CUCCUUCAUACCAGAAACUCUCUGAAAUCUUCCACAAUUUUCUUUCUAUCCUUGAGGUAUCAUUUUACAUGAGAGUUCUCAGUGGGUCUUUUCAAACUGGAGACUCAUGAUCAUGACAAUCUGGUGCACUCCGACUGUGUUCCACCACACCUCCUUAAUGGGGUUGAAAACCUUCCCAGGGAGACCGUUAGACUGAACAAAUCAAACCGCAGAGCCUUGGUUCAUGUGAAAGGAGAGAGGAGCCGGGUCUAGACAGAGGAACAAAGCAAGAUCCACCAGACACAAACUGCAAGCUAACUUUGACCCUGCUGCCCACCCGCGCCUGGUGGGCUCUCCAUCACUCUGUGACCUCAAGCACUCCCUGUGCAUGGUUGGUCACUCUCUGAGCCAACACAUGCCACCAGCCAUGCUGUGUCUAGAGUCUCCUUACCAUGUGGAUUAAAGGUGGGCUAGAGAUGAUGACCACUACUGAGGUAGAUUGGCAGUCAUCAGUGGGGAACUGGACAACUUCAAAGACAGCCAUACUUACCAAGUUAUUAUCAUGUGGAGAUGCAGGUUAAAGAAGAUGGCUCUGCCAACCUUUUCAGACUCGCUAUGAAAUGUCAAUGCAGCUAAUAUUAUAGACAGCUAAGUUAGGAAAAUAUUAUAGGCAAUCAGACAGGGCUAGACCCUUGAAGGGGUCAGUGCAGAAGAUAAGAACACAUUACAACUGUGGAUGGAGGUGCAUUUAUUGAAGGCCAGUCCUCAAGAUAAAGAUGGAAUGACUAGGCCUACGUAUCUCCCUGAGGGAUAAACAAUAUACUAUAAUCAGUAUUACCUGGUCCAAUAAAGUCUAGAGAGACAUUAGUUACCCAGUGGGGGACCAGGACCUUCUGACUCAUCCUUUCCAAAAAAGGUCCUUGUUCUUUCCAUGCACACUUGCUAUGUGACCUGCUUCCACAUUGGCUCAAUAUUAACUAAGUGGCUAUACUUGUAAUCCUAUUGUUUGAUCAAAGUUUUGCUCAACAUUGUACUCACCUUGUGAUUUUAUACCCACCUUGUGGUUUUGCUCUAUAAAACUUCCUCUGUAGAAUGGGGUCCAAGCCAACCUACUUGGGCCCCCUCCUGUCUCUCAGGAGCUAAAUCUCCCGGCCCACUCAAUAAAUAUCUCCCACUCUUAACCUCCACUGUUCCUUAGAAUUCAUUCUUCAAUUCUGGGGAACUCAAACUCGGUGUAUGUCAUCAUCUAGCAGAUUGGGAGUUACUUCCCUUACACUAGGAGGCCCUAUAUCACUAGGACAUAUUGAUGUGGUGGAGUUAAGCAGAGCACAAGCUUUUAUUCCCCUUGGCUGUGGCUAGAGCCAGGCAGCAGGGCACCCGUCGGGCCCAUGGGCAUCACACUUACCAGGUGUGGCUGCUUCCAUGCAGGAUUUAUUACUAUAGGGUGUUGGGGAGACGAUG
Molecule: long non-coding RNA, 1440 nt
Filed under: Heterocephalus glaber (naked mole-rat)
Lineage: Eukaryota; Metazoa; Chordata; Mammalia; Rodentia; Bathyergidae
Description: lncRNA (ENSHGLG00000036282.1)
Source: RNAcentral